Molecule: long non-coding RNA, 332 nt
Organism: Dreissena polymorpha
Lineage: Eukaryota; Metazoa; Mollusca; Bivalvia; Myida; Dreissenidae
Exons: 3
Source: RefSeq, a predicted model, not a curated record
UCAACAAUUUACAGAAUCUCAUAUUCCGGAAUGUAACUUAUGUUGUUUGCAAUUUUACAGGCCGGGACGGACGCGGUUUCCUUGACUACAUGUACUCCAGAUGGAUGUGAACAAAAAGCCCUGAACCUCACCACUCUGGAAUGCAACCCAAGAGAGAUGAUUAUAACUCUAAACGAUACGAGUCUAGCCUUGGAAAUACUCAACAGCGGCUACCUUUCCACACACGUGCCUAGCGGUGUUACGUACGCUGUAGCCACCAUUACGUCGUUAAGGGGAAAUGCUUCAUUUAGCAUUGAAUUGAGCGAGAAGGACUGUGGGAAAAUUGAAAGUGG